RNAcentral lists this long non-coding RNA (476 nucleotides) under Rattus norvegicus (Norway rat). Its description in RNAcentral is "long non-coding RNA NONRATT001318". The record is from RNAcentral. Lineage: Eukaryota; Metazoa; Chordata; Mammalia; Rodentia; Muridae.
UCCUCCCCUCCAUCCCCACACAUUUUCACUUUCAGUGGCUUCUGUUAUCCUGGGUAAACUGCUGUCCAAAAACGUUAGCUACAGAGGCUGAGAAGCUAAUUCAGUCAGUAAUGUGCUCAUAGCACAAGCCUGCUAGAUCUCCAGCACUCGUGCCAAAAGCAAAGAAGGGUGUUGCACACUGGUGAUGCCAGCACUGAGGAGAUGGGACAGGCUAGUGAUCAGCAAGCCUAGUUCAACCAUUUCCUCACUGGGAGCCCCCUCUCCAUUAUUAGAACCAGUGGGUGGGUACUCAUGGUUAAGUGACUUGACUUCAUGCCUGCUCCAAAGAGUAACAGUGACACUAAGGAUUUGGACAUGUGCCCAAGAGAAAGUAAGAAAAGGAGGAAAAUGCUCCCCUUAUGAAGGAAAUAAACAAUCCUGUACUGAGAUUGCUAAGAUCAGUGGUUAAGAAUAAACCUUGUCUGUGAAAUUAUGAA